GGAGAGGUGGCAGAGUGGUCGAUUGCGUCUGACUUGAAAUCAGAUGAGCUGAAAGGCUCCGGGAGUUCGAAUCUCCCCUUCUCCG
This 85-nucleotide transfer RNA is filed under the name Nostocaceae cyanobacterium. RNAcentral's name for it is "tRNA-Ser". It matches the Rfam family "tRNA". Rfam says of the family: Transfer RNA (tRNA) molecules are approximately 80 nucleotides in length. Their secondary structure includes four short double-helical elements and three loops (D, anti-codon, and T loops). Further hydrogen bonds mediate the characteristic L-shaped molecular structure. tRNAs have two regions of fundamental functional importance: the anti-codon, which is responsible for specific mRNA codon recognition, and the 3' end, to which the tRNAs corresponding amino acid is attached (by aminoacyl-tRNA synthetases). tRNAs cope with the degeneracy of the genetic code in two manners: having more than one tRNA (with a specific anti-codon) for a particular amino acid; and 'wobble' base-pairing, i.e. permitting non-standard base-pairing at the 3rd anti-codon position. The record is from RNAcentral. Lineage: Bacteria; Bacillati; Cyanobacteriota; Cyanophyceae; Nostocales; Nostocaceae.